GACGGAGGGGGCUAGCGUUGUUCGGAAUUACUGGGCGUAAAGGGCGCGUAGGCGGUUUAGUAAGUUGGAAGUGAAAGCCCGAGGCUUAACCUCGGAAUUGCUUUCAAAACUGCUAAUCUAGAGUGUAGUAGGGGAUGAUGGAAUUCCUAGUGUAGAGGUGAAAUUCUUAGAUAUUAGGAGGAACACCGGUGGCGAAGGCGGUCAUCUGGGCUACAACUGACGCUGAGGCGCGAAAGCGUGGGGAGCAAACAGG
Molecule: ribosomal RNA, 253 nt
Filed under: uncultured bacterium
Lineage: Bacteria
Description: partial 16S ribosomal RNA
Rfam family: Bacterial small subunit ribosomal RNA
Source: RNAcentral